RNAcentral lists this unclassified non-coding RNA (264 nucleotides) under rhizosphere metagenome. Its description in RNAcentral is "partial ribosomal RNA internal transcribed spacer region". The record is from RNAcentral.
GUAGGUGAACCUGCGGAAGGAUCAUUAAUGAAAUUAUAAUCCGGCGAGGGGAAGGACGAGAGUUGUCGCUGGCCUUUCGCGAGGCAUGUGCACGCUUUCUUCUGGACCUUCGCCGUAUGGGCGCGGGGCGACCCGCGUCUUCAUGCACCUCUUCGUGUAGAAAGUCUUCGAAUGUUAUACUAUCAUCGAGUCGCGACUUCUAGGAGACGCGGUUCUUUGAGACAAAAGUUAUUACAACUUUCAGCAACGGAUCUCUUGGCUCUC